GAGCGGCGGCGGCAGCGGCGGUGGGGGCUGCGCAACAACAAAACGUCGCCCGCCUCACGGCGUGUUACCGGACUCCGGGCGGCUGCGGCCAGGCCGGGGGGCAGAGGCCUCCCUGGCAGCGACGUGGGGUCUUUGCGGUGCCCGCCGGGGCCGCUUCCUCCACCUCCGGCCCUGAGCGGGGCGCCGGUGGCCCCCGCCUCUUCCCCCUCGGCCUUGCUGCCUCAGGCCUUUCUUAAAACUUUCCAUGUCUAAAUGGACUCCUGAAUGUAAUAUAGUUUAUACUCUAAAAGCGGAUAUGAAGAGUGAAGUUCCGUCUGAUGCACCAAAGAGACAGGAGAGUCUGAAGGGGAUCCUCUUGAACCCUGAGCCUAUUGGGGCAGCCAAAAGCUUCACUGCAGAAGUUGAGAUGAUUGCCAGUAAAGUAGGGAAUGAGUUCUCUCACUUAUGUGGUGAUUCUCAAAAGCAGAAGGACAUGAAUGGCAACCGUACAGACCAAGACAAAAGUAUUGUGGUGCGAAAAAAACGCAAGAGCCAGCAGGCUGGUCCUUCAUAUACUCAAAAUUGUCCUGAUAAAGAAAACCAAGGAAUCUUAGGAUUAAGACAGCAUCUAGAAACACAGAGUGAAGACAACGAUUCUUCUUUUAGUGACUGUAUCUCUUCGCCUUCAUCUAGUCUACAUUUUGGAGACUCUGACACAGUAACAUCUGAUGAAGAAAAAGAUGCUCCUGUGAGACACCCUCAGGCAGUGCUGAAUACUACGAGUAGAACUCACAGUGCCAGGUCACACAAGUGGCCUCGGACUGAGGCAGACUCUGUACCUGGGUUAUUAAUGAAAAGGCCCUGUUUUCACAACAGUUCUUUAAGAAGACUUCCAUAUAGGAAGAGAUUUGUGAAAACAAGUUCAUCACAGCGGACACAGAACCAAAAAGAACGAAUUUUAAUGCAGAGGAAAAAGCGGGAAGUGUUAGCUCGAAGAAAGUACGCUUUACUACCCAGCUCUAGCAGUUCCAGUGAGAAUGAUCUCAGUAGUGAGUCUUCUUCCAGUUCGUCUACUGAAGGAGAGGAAGACUUAUUUGUGUCGCCUGGUGAAAACCACCAGAACACUACAGCUGUUCCUUCAGGAAGUAUUGAUGAAGAUGUUGUGGUGAUUGAAGCAUCCUCCACUCCCCAGGUUACUGCUAAUGAAGAAAUAAAUGUUACCUCAACAGAUAGUGAAGUGGAGAUUGUCACAGUUGGUGAAAGCUACAGGUCUCGUUCCACACUUGGACACACAAGAUCACACUGGGGACAAAGCUCUACUUCUCAUGCUGCACGACCUCAAGAACAGCGGAACCGCAGUAGGGUUUCCACAGUCAUCCAGCCGCUGAGGCAGAAUGCAGCAGAGGUGGUAGAUCUCACGGUGGAUGAAGAUGGCUUGGGUGUGUGUCUGAGGACUGACUCACCAGGCAGAAAUUACAGAACAGAGCCGACAGUCGUGCCAACCACAUCAGCUAGAGUGGAGCCGCAGGUCGUGACUUCUGCCUCCAGUAACAGUUCUGGUACGUCUACCUCAGAGCAGGCCUCUGAUGCAGCUCCCAGCGUCUCCAGCAGCCAGCCCCCUGCAGCACCAGAGACAACUCCCAGUCUUCCCAGUGGCGGCACUGCUGGGCCUUCAGCUGGAGAUGAUAUAAGAAGAACUGCAUCUAAUACGACACUGGAAACUGGCCCUCCGGCCAUGCCAAGGUUACCAUCGUGCUGCCCUCAGCAUUCUCCUUGUGGAGGACCUUCACAGACUCAUCAUGCAUUGGGGCACCCGCAUACAAGCUGCUUUCAGCAGCACAGCCACCACUUCCAACAUCACCACCACCACCACCACAACCCUCACCCAGCUGUCCCGCUGUCUCCUUCAUUCAGUGACUCCAGCUGCCCUGUUGAAAGGCCUCCUCCAGUGCCUGCACCUUGUGGAGCAAGCAGCAGUUCGGGCACCAGUUACCAUGACCAGCAGGCAUUGCCAGUAGACUUAAGCAGCAGUGGUAUAAGAAGUCACGGAAGUGGUGCUUUUCAUGGAACAUCUGCUUUUGACCCUUGCUGUCCUGGUUCUUCAUCUCGAACUGCGAUUUACGGGCAUCAGGCUGGUGCAGGCCCGAGCCAGUCAAUAACAAUAGAUGGCUAUGGAUCGAGUAUGGUUGCCCAGCCACAGCCCCAACCCCCUCCUCAGGCAUCGCUCUCUUCUUGUCGGCAUUAUAUGCAUUCUCCUUAUGCUUCUUUGACCAGACCUCUUCACCAUCAAGCUUCUGCAUGUCCUCACUCUCAUGGAAAUCCUCCUCCACAGCCACAACCUCCACCUCAAGUAGAUUAUGUUAUCCCUCAUCCAGUGCAUCCCUUCCAUCCUUCAAUCUCCUCUCAUGCAUCUUCUCAUCCUGUUCCACCUCCACCUCCACCACCAACUCAUCCUUUAGCCAACGCAGCUGCUCCAAUACCCCAGCAUCUUCCUGCAACGCACCAGCCUAUAUCCCAUCACAUCCCUGCAACAGCACCUCCAGCACAGAGGCUACAUCCUCAUGAAGUGAUCCAGAGGAUGGAGGUCCAGAGAAGAAGAAUGAUGCAACACCCAACACGUGCUCAUGAACGGCCUCCUCCGCAUCCUCACAGAAUGCAUCCCAAUUAUGGUCACGGGCAUCACAUUCAUGUGCCUCAGACAAUGUCUUCCCAUCCUCGACAAGCUCCGGAGAGAUCUGCCUGGGAACUGGGAAUUGAAGCUGGUGUGACUGCAGCUACUUACCCUCCAGGGCCCUUGCAUCCUCACUUGGCCCACUACCACGCGCCUCCUCGACUUCAUCACUUGCAAAUCGGGGCUCUUCCUCUAAUGGUACCAGACAUGGCGGGCUACCCUCACAUCCGUUACAUUUCAUCGGGAUUGGAUGGAACAUCAUUCAGAGGCCCUUUCAGGGGCAAUUUUGAGGAGCUGAUUCACUUGGAGGAACGAUUAGGCAACGUUAAUCGUGGAGCAACACAGGGAACUAUAGAAAGAUGCACAUAUCCACAUAAAUACAAAAAGGUAACAACUGAUUGGUUCUCACAGAGGAAACUGCACUGCAAACAAGAUGGGGAGGAAGGAACAGAGGAAGAUACAGAGGAAAAGUGCACCAUCUGUUUGUCUAUAUUGGAGGAAGGUGAAGAUGUCAGGCGCCUUCCAUGUAUGCACCUGUUCCACCAAGUGUGUGUAGAUCAGUGGUUGAUUACUAACAAGAAGUGCCCCAUUUGCAGAGUGGACAUUGAGGCUCAGCUGCCUAGUGAAAGUUGACAGCGCUUUCCAGAACUCUUGUCCUCCCUCUCGCUCCCUCUCAUCCUUCCUGGUACUGCAGUCAACCAAAGAUGGCAUGACUUACCUGCGCAGAUUUGGAAGCAUUGAACCUAGGGUGCUGGCUCUGCUAUAUGUGACUGUUGAAAAGGAGGGAAGUUAGUUGACCACUGAUGCUUUGAAGUCUGAUGAUGCUCACUUUUAAACGUUUCCAAGAAGGUACUUGAGAGACAUGAGACAAAAAACCCCAGGGCCUCUGAAAUAACUGAGACCCUGGAUGCGUGGUAGAAUCUAUUUUGGCUUCCUUACAGGACAAAGAAGCACAGGUUUGGGGGAUUUUUAUUUUAUUUGUUUUUAGGAAAUCUUUUAUGCACCUGAUUUGGGUGCCUGGUACUAGAGGUAUUUUAGUGGUCCAUGAAUUGACUUGUUUUAUAACUGCUACUGAUAAUUGUCUUGCUUUUAAAUGUAUGCAUAACAUUGUAAUGUGAUGUUGAACACUUAGGUAUUUGCCAGGAAUCACAGUGUUCUGAUCUUACAUGCUAUUGCAGGGGCUAAUAAAGCUGCAGCCUACUUCUAUUCCAGAAAGUUGUGACUUAACCGUAAUUUAUGGGAAGAAAAAAGAAUAGGCAUUUGAUUUUUGAAAAUUUCCACCACUUACUGUGCUUUAUAUGCUUAGAUGCAUUGCCUUAAGUUUUUCUGCAGCAUCUUUGACUUUGAAGAUAAGAUUCUCAACAGUAUACAUCAAAUUACUUUUCAUAUAAAAUUCCAUUGUCAAAAGAAAUCCUUUUGUAUGCAAUAAAUAAAAUGUUAAGACUGGUAUCAUUCAAAAUAUG
Calidris pugnax (ruff) is the source of this 4113-nucleotide RNA transcript. It is a transcript of the gene named ring finger protein 111, with no coding region annotated. The transcript is spliced from 16 exons. NCBI's taxonomy places the organism in Eukaryota, Metazoa, Chordata, Aves, Charadriiformes, Scolopacidae. The record is from RefSeq and is a predicted model, not a curated record.